UUUUAUUAGAUAAAAAGUUUUUCCUUGUCACAAUUAUGACUUUCUAUGAACAAUGCAAUAAUCGAUGCAGCUUGCAUUUCAACACAAAAUGAAUGUGUAAAAAAAAAAAAAAAAAAUAUAUUAAUUUAAAAAAAUAUUUUUUUUAAUUAAAAAAUCGAUUAUGAACUUUUCUGAAUCGAGACAGAAUCGUUCUAAAGAGAAUCGAGAGAAAUCGAAAAAUAGAUUUUUUUCCCCACCCCUACUACUUAUAGUACCAUACUGCAGAGUAAGUAUGGUACAUGCCACGGCCAUACAUACUGUAAAGGUGCAUACUUAUGCAUUGCUGUGCUCCCAUUUAUUUCCAGCCAGUCAACAGUUUCAGACGGUUAUAGUGGGCUAGUGGGUGAAACCAGACUGGACUGAACUUGAAGAAGUGUUGAGGGGGUGGCUGUGAUCUUUAGUAUAGGACAAACAGUUGCACACAAAAGUAAUUUCAGUAGUUCAAAGCAAUGUUGCAACAACUGCCUGUCAAUAGUGUAUGUCCUUUUUUAGCUCUGUGUUGAAAACAGAAGUGAGAGAAAAAACCCACAACGAGCAAGUGGUGUUGCAUGCCACACUUCUUCUUCUUCUGUUUUUCAGGAUGCUGUCUGCAGUUUUUUUUUCUUAAACCACAAAAAAACCCAAAACAAAACAAACAAACUAGAAGCUCCUCUGGCCGCUAGACGUACACAUCCGGUGGUGCCCAUUCAGAACUCUUUCAUUUCCUCUAUUCUAGUUUCAGACUAAACCACCAGCCACGUUUUGAGAGGUUUCUCUUUCAUUGACAUUUCCCAUUCAUGAGUUUGUGCUCGUCUGUGAAUGCAGAAGUCUGUGCUUCACUUAUCCUUUCGGUUCACAGAUGCGGCCCCCUUUAGGGUUGUGCUGUUGUCACAUGCGUUGUUCAACACAACCAGAAAGCUGACAUUGUGACCAGUAAGUUUCCAGUCGUCCUGGACGAUGGGUAAAAGACCUAGCUGUUUUUUUACACUCAUAUUUAGUAGAUGUCCUGUAAUACUACUAAAGGAGUUACAUAAGAGCACGACAACGGCUUGCGUUUCAUCCGUCAACCAGCUCUGUUACUACAGGAGUCAUGACCUUGGCAAAGGCUUUGCAGUAGGCCAGAGCUUCUCUGGUUUUUCUUUGCGCGUAGAAGUAACAGUAUGUUCUGUUGAUGUUGCAUGGGCAUAUCUCUCUCUCUCUCUCUCUCUCUCUCUCUCUCUCUCUCUCUCUCUCUCAGUGUUUUGAAGUACCCUAGAGUGAAGCCUCUCACCGUAGCAUGGGGAUUUGGUGUAAUUUCAUGAGUGGUUUUACGAACACAGCUCAUGUUCCAGCAACGAGAGGCUUUUGUCCGUUCAGCUUCUCAAGGCCUGGGGAGAUGCAGUGCAAAGGGACGCGAUAGCCUCGCCACCCAAAGGAAGCACUUGUGGUCUUACUGGCGUCACUUCAGAUCACUUCCUAGUAAGACCCUUAAAGGAGUGUUAAAUAUGCAAUGCGUUUUACAAUGUACAGCAAGAACUUCCUCUCAUGGGUCAACGGUAGGACGCAGUAACGUGUUUGAACUAGACUGCUAAAGCAGGCUGGCCAGAAAGCAGCUGAGGCAUGGUCUGUACCAUGGCCACAUCAUGGCCAGAGUCUAUGCAGUGUUGGCUACUGUCUGAGAAUAUAGCUAAGGGGACACAUCCCUGGUCAUGGUCGAGAGAAGCUUCUGUUGUUGUGUUUGUUCUGAGAACGCUAGGCUCUCAGGGGAGCACCAAGGAAAAGCAAAUAGCUGUGCUGUCUGUGGGUAAAAUUGGCUGCUUUUGUUUCGGGUUUCCACUGACAUUAAGGAGGCCUGCGAGCUCUGUGAAACUAGCCCGAGGCGUCUCUUCUGUUGCAGUCUCUCCGGGACGGAGAUGACCGCCAGAAAACUCGGAUGAAUUUUGGUAUCGGGUUUUUGUGAGAAUUGAUGCUAACAGGGUUGGCUCCCCUAGAACCUGCGCACUGCUUGACAAAAGCACCCGUCACUGUUGGAAUCUGCUUCGCUGGUUCCAGCUCUAGUUUGUUUACUACAUAUGAAACACUCCACACCAAUAAUCACUACAGCUCUAUUGGUGUGUUUCAUAUGUACUAAAACAAACCAAUCACAACAGCUCUAUUGAUAGAUAGAUGGAUACUUUAUUUAUCCCGAGGGAAAUUUAGUUUCAUAAGUACCAAACAAUCUUCAGAAACAGAAUAAAAAUGUCUUUUGAAACAUCAUGAAAGUGUCCUAUCUACAUUGUCACAACAUAACAACAGGCAUGAUGUGUGAGAGACGCCUUCUCUAAUUCAGCUCCGAUUUCAGCUGUGGUUGUGACUCAUAUAAAACACGCAUUUGUUUCUUGUUAGCACGCUCCCAAACAAUAAUGUGGUCCGGUUCUGGCAUUGAUACAUGCUUAUACAUGUGUACCAGAACAGUACUAGAAUCUGCUGCUUCUCUGGACUACGCGAAGCUGUGUUCUUCAGGAACCACACACCGCAACCUCAUAAUUACUUUCAGUAUCAGUCAAGUUAGUGCUUCUCUCUGGCGACGCACGAUUACAUGGUUGCAUGGCUCAGCUGAGGAACCGUAGAUGGUGGCAUUAUUUUUUCAGUGCGUCUUGUCACUUUCCAUCAGCAGAGUGUCUCGUGUUGGAAAGAGGCCGCUUCCCCCGUGCGCUGCUCUGCGAUCGGCCCGGUGUUGGAGUGAGAACCGUGCGCACUGGUACACAUCGUCGUGUGUUGCCUUGUGUGAGAUC
Clupea harengus (Atlantic herring) is the source of this 2771-nucleotide long non-coding RNA. The record is from Ensembl. NCBI's taxonomy places the organism in Eukaryota, Metazoa, Chordata, Actinopteri, Clupeiformes, Clupeidae.